GAUGAACGCUGGCGGCGUGCCUAAUACAUGCAAGUCGAGCGAACAGAUAAGGAGCUUGCUCCUUUGACGUUAGCGGCGGACGGGUGAGUAACACGUGGGUAACCUACCUAUAAGACUGGGAUAACUUCGGGAAACCGGAGCUAAUACCGGAUAACAUUUGGAACCGCAUGGUUCUAAAGUGAAAGAUGGUUUUGCUAUCACUUAUAAGUGGACCCGCGCCGUAUUAGCUAGUUGGUAAGGUAACGGCUUACCAAGGCGACGAUACGUAGCCGACCUGAGAGGGUGAUCGGCCACACUGGAACUGAGACACGGUCCAGACUCCUACGGGAGGCAGCAGUAGGGAAUCUUCCGCAAUGGGCGAAAGCCUGACGGAGCAACGCCGCGUGAGUGAUGAAGGGUUUCGGCUCGUAAAACUCUGUUAUUAGGGAAGAACAAAUGUGUAAGUAACUGUGCACGUCCUGACGGUACCUAAUCAGAAAGCCACGGCUAACUACGUG
Molecule: ribosomal RNA, 497 nt
Filed under: uncultured bacterium
Lineage: Bacteria
Description: partial 16S ribosomal RNA
Rfam family: Bacterial small subunit ribosomal RNA
Source: RNAcentral